GGAUUAGAUACCCUGGUAGUCCACGCCGUAAACGAUGAGUGCUAGAUGUCGGGCAGCAUGCUGUCCGGUGUCGCAGCUAACGCAUUAAGCACUCCGCCUGGGGAGUACGGCCGCAAGGUUAAAACUCAAAGGAAUUGACGGGGGCCCGCACAAGCGGUGGAGCAUGUGGUUUAAUUCGAUGCAACGCGCAGAACCUUACCAGCCCUUGACAUCCCGAUCGCGAGGACCGGAGACGGACCUUUUCAGUUCGGCUGGAUCGGAGACAGGUGCUGCAUGGCUGUCGUCAGCUCGUGCCG
This 296-nucleotide ribosomal RNA is filed under the name uncultured bacterium. RNAcentral describes it as "partial 16S ribosomal RNA". It matches the Rfam family "Bacterial small subunit ribosomal RNA", at positions 775 to 1067 of the family's 1533-position model. The record is from RNAcentral.